This 4116-nucleotide long non-coding RNA is filed under the name Coffea arabica (coffee). RNAcentral describes it as "long non-coding RNA (CARA_LNC002401)". The record is from RNAcentral. Lineage: Eukaryota; Viridiplantae; Streptophyta; Magnoliopsida; Gentianales; Rubiaceae.
GGAGAUGAAAAUGUUAGCCAUAGACCGUUAAAAAGAAAAAGAAACAAAAAAAAGAAGUCAGCGAAAAAGAUGCAAGUAUAUUAUAUAGAGCAUUCUAAUAUUGCUUCCAAGCUCGACUUCUACAUACUUCUUCUACAAGCCUGGAAACUAUAAAAGACUAGCAGCCAUACAAGCUGUAAUUAUGUGCUUGCUUGCUUGCUAGUUGUUAAUUGCUACUACUGCUACAACACAGGAGAAACUUUCUGCAGCACUCUGCACUCUGCAGUGAUGCAUCCACAUAUUACAUAUACAAUAGGCCUGCACAUAUAAUGGAACUUAGUAAGCCAUAGCUUCUGAUUUCCUCUUGGAAUAAUCCAUAAUGAUCAUCCCAUCAUGCAACUUCAUAGCAUCAUAGCGGGUGACCUUCUCUUCACUAGAAACAGGGAUCAUCAUCUGAUAAAUUGGGGGUUUCUGAGGUUGAUAUGGGGGACAAACUGAUAUAUAUGGGUUGGCAGCUGCAGGAGCCCUUUGCGGUGGUGGUAGGACUUGACGACUCGGCCUGCGUCUCCGGCCGAAAUAUUCAUCAAUUAUAGCAAAGCCCUCCUCGCUAAUCUUAACAAGGUCUGGCUGGGAUGCCAUUGAAUCUCAAAGGCUACACUGAAGAGAAUAGUAUUACUUAGCAAAAAGUAGUUGUGUGUUUGAUUUCUGAUGCAGAGGUAGAGAGGCAGAGGCCUUUAUAUAGAGGCUUUUUUUUUUAAAGAUAGCAAGGGUCCCCAAGUGGGGGAAAAAGUCGAACCAUAUGAACAUGGCUGCUUCAUGGAAACGAGACAACUUCCCAUGCUAAGUUACAAACAUUUUUAUCACUUCUAACGUUUAUGCCCCCACAUUUUUAUCACUUUCGCUGCAGUGUCUCUCGUUUUUUCAAAAUUUUAAAAUUGUUUCUACAUCUUUUUUUUUUUUGGCAUUAACUAGCUAUGAUUAAUUAUGAUAACUAAUUAUAACGAGCUAUAUUGAAAAGACCACAGCCGGAUAUAUAUAAAAUCCAUAAUCUUACAUCUAAAAUAAAAUAAAUAAAACUAAAAUUUUUUGUCCAAAAAAACAACUUAAUUUUCAUGAGUUACUUUCUACAAACAAAACUUUUAUCAUCAGUUUUACAGCUGUGUUACAUUACCCCACACAUUGCGGUAUCAUUAGCAAGCGGUUACUUUAAUGUAUACAUGAACUUAUUACAUUUUCUAGCCAUCACCUUGGUUCGAUUUUGGCAGAUUUAAUGAAAUGGUGAUGUGAAAAAUCUGAGAAAAUUCCCACUUCCCAAUAUGUGGCGAUUCCGGGAGACAAAGGCAUAAAGCUAAUGUGAAAGGGGGAGGCACCUGGUGAUUUAAUUCCGGAUUGUUAUAUUAUUCCGUUUGAUCGGCAAGGGAAAGUGAUUUUAUACGGUCGUGGUCUUGGCGGUGGACUUGGUGGUCUGAGUCUUUCCUCUUUCGGUGGAAUAGAACAUGACAAGUGUCUAAUGGAUUGGAUGCCUUUUAGUUCCGUUGAAGACUGGACGACUUCAAAUUUUCAGUCCAUUUGUGUUAAUCUUUCAUCUAUGUACAGAUUAUAAACUAAUUUUGAAAAAUGAUUAUAGACGAAACCAGAAUAAUUUGAAACGACUCGUAAGUGGAUUCUAGAUUUUAACUUUUUAAUUAUUCAGAAUUAUUAAAAGAAAGAAAAGAAAAGAAAUAAUCAGAUGAAUAGAGCUCCUAGUUAAGCCUGGUUGUUUGCUUGGCAGCCACAAUUACUAGUAAGCAGAAUUAUUCUUCUGACUGAAACAAACACAACAACUGAUCUUUUAUUGAUAUAACGAAAAUUCGGUCAAGGAAGAGAUAAUUCCCUUUUGCUUUUCUUUGGUUCUUUUCAUCUGACUAGGAUAGACCAAUCCAAAGUUCAGUCAAUUAACCUAUUUAGAAGCGUAAUCUUACUUACAGAAUCACAAAAGAAAAAAGAUUAAAAAAGGAAGAAAGUCUGCAAUUUGUUUCUGGCAAAAAGCUUUGUUUGGAUUGUGAUUUUUUUGCAGAAAAAUAUUUACAUUUUUCAUGAACAUAUUUUUAAUCAUAUUUUUACCUCACAUAUAUCAAAUCGUUACAAUAUAUUUUUCCACCAAAACUCCUAAAAAUCGCAACAGUACAUCAAAUUUGUAACUGGAAAAUGCAACCAUACUCAAAAGUUUACCAAGCUAGUGUUGUAUGCAACAAAAGUAUUACGGUGAGUUGUUUUGAUCAGAAGAAAGACACCAGAUCUCUCUGCUUCUAUGAGUUGUUUUGAUCAGUUAGGUUUUGAAUCUAUUCUUCUCCCAUGUUAUAUGAUUCUUUAUGUUUAAGCAUUUCGUUUUCAUUGGUUUGGAUAGACAAAAAUCUGAUCAAGUGGUGAAAUUAAAUCAAAUGACGAGGAAAGUGCAAGCUAAAUUACGAGAAUAGUGUAUACUCUUGACCACGUACCGUGCUAGAUCCAGCUCGAGCUCGCUUGGCCUUUCUGUAAAACCACUUUCUACAAUCAAAAGGUUACAACUUCAUAUGAAUUGUGAUUGAUACAAUGGUUUUAUGUUGUACUUCUUUUUUCAUAAAUUGUGUUUGCUAUAGAGGUUUCACGCAUUUUGCUGCUCUUUUUUUUUUUUCUUGAUACGCGUGCAUUUAGUUAGAAGAAACCACUUCAAGUUUCGGCAUAAAUUGUAAUGUCUAGAAUGAAAAUGUAAUGCAUCACAGGUUGAAAUAUUCUGUCAUGCAGCAAAUACAAAAAAAAACCCCUUCCUACAAUAAUGAAAAACACUUGCAAAUUAGUAGAAAACGAUCAUUGAUGACUGUUACGAUAACUAUUAGCAGAUUAAAUAAGCGAAUUCAUCAAUGAAAAAAAAAAAAAAAAAAGAGGAAAAGACAAUUUCUUUCAUGCACUGGUCUAGGUAUUACUUCCAACUUUCAGAGUUCCAGCUCGAGAAGUUCGGAAGAAUACCAGUAAAAUAUCAGAUGAAGAAAUUGAGCCGCGGACUUGUUAUGCUUUCGAUAUAUAUAUCUUUUGCCUGCCAUAGACGGUAAAAAAGAAAAAGAAAAAAAAAGAAAUCAGCGAUAAAGAUGCAAGUAUAUUAAAUAGAGCAUUCUAAUAUUGCUUCAAAGCUCGACUUCUACAUAUUUCUUCUGCAAGCCUGGAAACUAUAAAAGACUAGCAGCCAUACAAGCUGUAAUUAUGUGCUUGCUUGCUAGUUGUUAAUUGCUACUACUGCUACAACACAGGAGAAACUUUCUGCAGUACUCUGCACUCUGCAGUGAUGUAUCCACAUAUUACAUAUACAAUAGGCCUGCACACAUAAUGGAACUUAGUAAGCCAUAGCUUCUGAUUUCCUCUUGGAAUAAUCCAUAAUGAUCAUCCCAUCAUGCAACUUCGUAGCAUCAUAGCGGGUGACCUUCUCUUCACUAGAAACAGGGUUCAUCAUCUGAUAAAUUAGGGGUUUCUGAGGUUGAUAUGGGGGACAAACUGAUAUAUAUGGACGAGCCGCGGCAGGACCAGCAGGAGCCUUCUGCCUCGGUGCAGCAGCUGCCCUUUUUUUUCCUCCAUAUUCUUCCUCUUCCAGCAUCUGAAAGCCUUCGUAGCCUAUCUUAAGAAGCUUUGAUCGGUUGUCCAUCUUGUAGUUACUGGCCAUUUCUAAGCAAGAAGUGAGGAAAAGUGGGGAGGCUAGCUUCUGAUGAAACUGGGUUUGAGGUCUUCUUUUGUUGUGUAUGGAAAGGUUAGUUUGAGUUGGUGGUUUGGUGUAAAAGGCCGUGAGCAAUGAGCCCUUUAUAUAGGGAGGAUUUUUACUAAGAUAUAGCUAGGAUAAGGCUGGAAUGGAAAUCAGAUAUUUGCAUAGGAAAAAAAAAUAAAAGAAAAGAAGAAUCUUCAUGGGGUCUUAGUUUUCCCAACUUGUGUUGAUUCCCUUUCAGAUGUGCAUGGGACCAGUUUACAGGGAAAGGUAGGGGUUUUGGAGAUUCUUGAACGAUGAAGUUGAGUUUCCUUCCUUGUUAAGAGGGAAUAAAAAUACUAUGCUACUGCGUGUUCUUAUUAGUUAUGUAUUAUAACUGAAUUAGUGCAGCAUCCAAAUUAUCGAGGGAACACUGAGAACGUGGGUUGUUG